Molecule: long non-coding RNA, 492 nt
Filed under: Phasianus colchicus (ring-necked pheasant)
Lineage: Eukaryota; Metazoa; Chordata; Aves; Galliformes; Phasianidae
Description: lncRNA (ENSPCLG00000002533.1)
Source: RNAcentral
CUUCUAUGCUACAUGUACAAAAAAUGGAACAAGAGGAAGACCUCUGAACUGUGUUUCAGUGAUAUAUAGUGGAGAUUUAAUCCAAGAAGCUCAGAUAAAAAUCAUGAUUUCAUGUUUAUUAAGUAUGAAAGACAGAUGUGUUGAUGGCAUUCUCAGAAUUUCUAGAAAAAUCCUUGGCAACCAAAGAAUGAGAUAACGAUGAGUCUACAAGGCACAAAGCUAACAGAAGAGGACUGCUUCACACACUCCAAAGAAUAACAUGAAACAGUAGUCAGUCAUCUACAUUUCAAAGUACUAUGUUUAUCAGUCUGGGUUUAGGUUUAAUUUUUUCAGCAGCCUACAGAAAGAACUAUUUAAUUUGAGAAUGCAAAGAUGUUGCAGGGAAUUCAAACCUGAAUCACUGCGUAAACUGUUCCCAAUUUUACUCUUUCUCACUUCAAAUCUUGCUUAAUUAACUUGUAAAUCAAUAAAGAAAUAAAGCAUGAAUGUACA